UCGGACCAAUUUAGUCUUGCUUGUAGCCCAAUUAAACCAAUCCCUUAGCUCAUUAACUCAAAAGCCCAAACCUAGACACCCAUUUAAGAUAAUAUACAAGAAAAAUAAAAAAACCUAGACCUAGAGGGAGGGGUUCAGCCGUAUUUCACAUGGAGAAGACCUUCAUCGUCUUCAACGGAUUACACAAAACAAGGAGCAGACCUUCAUCUUGUUCUCCAGGACAAACCAUGAGAACAACCCCAUGAGAUCUUAAUCUUGAACACAAGACAAAAAUAUACAAAAAACCCUAAGAGAACAGUCAGCUGCCGCAUCAACCUUCACCCGCCGGCGACCACUCCACACACAUCUAUGACCAGCUAACUCCUCCAGCUCCAGCCGUCAGCGACCCCUUCAACACCGGCAAACUGACCCCCCUCUCUUCGGGCUGACACGAACGACCCCUCGCCUCAUUUUCUUGAAGCUAACACACACAAGAGCACUCCAAUCCCAACUGUUUCAAGAUCUCAAACAUUCAGGUUCCAUUGCCGGCAAGCUUCGCCGGGAACCGGCGGAAACUAACACGAAAAUCCCCCAAAAAUCAGCUCGAAAACUAUCCUUUUUUCAUCUCAAAACGGAACUAAAAAUCAGUCGACCCACAACCAUCGACCCCUCGAUUUUUUUCUCCUACGUACCAGCUGACACUCACACGAAAAGGUCACUGUUUGUUCAGCUCUGAAAUCUUACAUUGAAGUUGUGCUCGAAGUCGAGCUUCACCGGAAACCGGUUAGCUCAUCGUCUUUCAGUCGAGUCUAUCAAUUCUAACUGAGUUUCUGGCCGAUUUUGUUGCUGCUCGUAGAGUUUGCUCAUUUUAGGUUGUCGGUUUGAGUUUCGCUCGUGGUUUCGGAUUCGUCUCAUUGUUGUCUCCUUCAUUCGGAUUUACACUUUGGCAAAGUUGUUUCAAUUUUCGGGUACUAAAAAACACUUUCUUAACAGGUUCCUUUCUGUUCUACUAUAUCAUUUACUUUUAGUUAGAUUUAAUCUUCUUCCAUUACUUGUGUUUUGCCUUACUUCCAUGCUUAAGUAUUUAUAGUUUAGAAUCUGUUGGUUUGGAUGCAUGGAACUAUAAUUUGAUUUAAUUUUGUGAUCACUAAAUUGGUAUUCAAUUGCUCAAGUUUUACAUAAAUGGGUGUGGGUAGAGUAUUGUUUAAAAAGAAAAUAUUAUAUUAUUAUUUCAUUAGUUAAGCUUGAAUCAAAAGGCCGUAUAAUUGAAAAAAUUGAAAAUUGAAAGAAAACGGAAAUGCAUUUAAAGUUUAGUAAUUCUAUUUAGUUAUUAUUAGCUCUUCACUUCCCUGCUAGUAACAUGCUUAGGCCAUCAUCAUUUGGGUAGGCACGCCUCAAGAUGUUUAGUUUAACUUAUAAUGUUUGAACGUAAGGUGAGAGGUGGUCCCUUAGAUAAAUUCAUUCGGGGAAUGCCCCGUAGACAUUGUAAAUAGUUUAACCCGGGGAAUGCCACGAAGUAAAUGUAAAUGGAGUCGUGGCAUCAUCAAUGAAGGCGUAGUAUAAGUUAAGAAGACUUACUUUAUUUUGUUUUAUUUUUCUUUUAUUAGGAAGGGACGACCUCGAACCUUUUGGAUGUUUAUUUUUCUUUGUGUGUUUUACCUCAAUUCAAACAUUCUAAAAGCUAACUUGAUCAUGUACACAACCGUAUUAGUUACAGGACUUGGGGAAUGCCUAACAGCUUCUCCCCGAGUCAUAUGAACCCCCUUACCCGAAUCUCUGGUGCGGACUUGAUUUUCGAGUCCAAGUAUUUUAAAAGUAAAAAUUAUUUUUAAAAAAAACGAUGAACUGACACACUGAAAUCAAUGUCAAGUGGCGACUCUGAGUAAUUUUCUUUUGCACAAAAUUUCAUCACUUUCUAAUUGAAAACCCUUUUCAAGCUUUAUAAAUUCCUUUUAUUUAUUUAAGAGGGGUUAGUGAAGUUUGGUUAAAAAAAGGGGUGUGACAUCUCUGGCUACAUUGGGAAAGUAAAUGAAUUAAUUUUGGACAAACUAUGAUUUAUAUUAUUUUCAUGUUUUACCUAUCCGCCUUUAUCUCUUCUUAUUCAAAAAUAUUCUCUUAUUUUUCUAAUAAUCAAGAGAUAAAGGCGCAUAGGUAAAACAUAAAAAUAAUAUAAAUCAUAGUUUGUCCAAAAUUAAUUCAAGCCAAAUGUAGUCAAUAAAGCGAUCGUGCUAGAACCACGGGACUCAGGGAAUGCCUUACACCUUCUCCCCGGUCAAUAGAAUUCNNNNNNNNNNNNNNNNNNNNNNNNNNNNNNNNNNNNNNNNNNNNNNNNNNNNNNNNNNNNNNNNNNNNNNNNNNNNNNNNNNNNNNNNNNNNNNNNNNNNNNNNNNNNNNNNNNNNNNNNNNNNNNNNNNNNNNNNNNNNNNNNNNNNNNNNNNNNNNNNNNNNNNNNNNNNNNNNNNNNNNNNNNNNNNNNNNNNNNNNNNNNNNNNNNNNNNNNNNNNNNNNNNNNNNNNNNNNNNGGUUGUGCACUCAUCUUGAUCUUUUCCUAAGGUGUUAACCUCUUCAAGGAUAACCCGCACUGACACUAAUUGAUGUUUUAAGCGUCAAUACCAUACACGAGGGGGGUUGAUUUGUGUGGUACCCAAUUUUUGCUUAACUGAACUAUAGAAGAACCUGGUUCUUCUAGGUGUUCCAACUACUACCGUUUGCGGAAUAAUAAAUACAAAAAAUAAAGAACACAGAGAUUUUUACGUGGAAAAUACCUGGCUCAAAAGGUGAAAAAACCACGACCUAUUACUCAGUAGGAUUUUCCAAACUUCCACUAAAAUCACUGAGCCAAAAUAGCAUUUACAAAAACUCUUUGUAAACCUAAGGAUUAACUCUAAUCCCGUUGUAGCACACAGCCUCAACUGUUGUGACAACUUCAAGUUAACUCUAACUUGAACACUCUAGGUACCUAAUACAAUUGCUUCUAUGAAAACUGAAAGGUAUAAUGUAAAAUCUCCUACUACAAUUGAACUAGAAUAAAAGAUAGACACUUGGAACUGAUUCUUCUAUCUCGUUCAAGCAGCUUCAGGAUUGCACACUCAAAUCACACAUAAAUUGCUUGCAAAAUCACCUUGCUCUUUUGCUCUCAAUUUAAGUUUAACUUUUGCUUAUGUGCAUUACCUAUAAAAGAGAACAACAUUGACAUUUAAUAGGUUAGUAAUCAGAGUUUGACUGGGAUUCAAUUGCUACUCUUCUAUCGUGGAAGAGUUCAUGAUGAUCUCAAACUCUAACACUAUCUUCAUCCUAAACUGUGUUCUCUUCAUGUAAGGAGUCUUUCUCUCCUUAUCCAAUAUGCAACCUUUUCUAUCAGAUCAGGAGAUAUUGCUUCUUGAUCAGUUAGAUUUAUCUCCUUCACGUGCAUCUCACAUGUACAGGUUGAUAAUGACUGUGCUUCACAAGAUGGACCUGGUCCAUGUCUGAGUUCUUUUGUCAAUUUUCAAAACUUCACCUGUUCUUGGGCCAACAACCUUGAAACCCGAGCUUGCACUGACCUGAAUGUUAUCGCUUACAUUUACCAUAAAGACCUUGUUGUUGUGAGUGUUGAUCAACAUGACUCUAGCUAUUUGAGGAUGGUGUCCUCAAAUUCUAGUUCUGGUGAGACUGGUUUCCAUAACUCUCAGUACGUUUGAUAAAAGACCCACCACCUCACUGAUGACUGGACUGAGCUGGUGCAAAUGACCCCUUGCUGAAGGAACCCCUUCCUCCUCUACUAGAUGUACCACUAAACUUAUCCAAUAUUCGGGCUUUCUUGUUAUGCUCUUUCUCUUCUUGAGCUUUCUUGUUAUGCUUUUUCUCUUAUCUCCUUUGUUUUCUGUCUUUUUUAAGUACUUGGCAAAACCCAGAACAGAGGAGAAAGCUGUCAUUCCUAUCGCUAUAGCUGAUGUCGUAUCCUUAAUGUGGUAAGACAAACUGCAACAAACCUACAGAUCUUUGCUUUUUCCAUCUUAACCAUGUGAUGAGCAUGCUUAGCCAAACUUAUGAAUUCCAUGUAGUACUCUUGCACACUUUUAUUCCCUUGCUUGAGUUGCUCAAUUUCUAUAGCCUUAUCUUCUAUAUCCUUUUCUGGUAUAAAAUUACCCAUGAAGACCUCUUCGAAUUCUUCCUAAGUAGUCGGACUAUCAUCUUCACAUCUUUCCUUUUCCAACAUCUCAAACCAAAAGACAGCCACAUCUCUAAGUUGGUAGGCAGCCAGCUCUACAGCUUCAUCAUCAAAUGCCUUUAUCGCUCGGAGGGCUUUCUUGACACCUUCCAGCCACAACAUUGGAUCUUCAUCAACUAUAGGACCACAGAACAAUGGAGGACUUAACUUUAAAAAUUCAUUCACUCUUGAAGACUCAGAAUUGAUUUGUCUAUUUGAUUGAGUGGAUUCUCAUCUCUUCUCUUGUUCUGGUUGGCUGUGAAGGCUUUAAACAUCUCCAUAGCACUGUUGACAACAUUAAACAUUUGACCCACAUCUGUAGAUAUAGUUGUUUGAGCCGGAACUAUUAUUGGGGGUGGCGUGUAAGGCCUCGUAAAAUUUUGCUUAAAAUGUUUAAGCGUAAUCACUUUGGGGAGUUGAAGGAAAUAUUUUUGUAGAAGUAGGCAUUUUCCUGCAUUAUGUGGUUGCAUAAUCACUUUGGGUGCCGCAGAGUGAAACACUCUUUUCGGUCAAUUUUGAGGUCAGUUUCGCAUCCAAUUUUGCGACCGCAUAUCCAUUUCGCGGGCCGCACUUUGGUCGCAUAAUCGUCCUUGGAAUUUUGCAGAGGGAGGUUCUGCGCAUUAUGCGACCGCAGAACAGGUCUAUGAGCCACAUAAUGGCCGCAGAAUGAGACAGACCAGCCCAGUUCCUAGGGCCACUUUUCGCGGCCAUUUUGCAGAUCGCAUAUAUGCGGCCAUAGAACCUGUUCCAGAGCUACAUUUUUGGGUUUUAAAACCCGACCCAACUUCGCUAAAAUAGAGGUAAGGUGCCAUUUUUAGCUAGUUUUCUUAUAUGUUUAGAGAGAGAGAAAGAGAGUAGUAGAGAGAUAAGGUGAUCUUCAUCAAAUUUCUUCUUCUAUUCUUUCUUAACACCUUGAAGAUUAUCAAGAGAGGCACCUAGGUCUUCUUCCUAAGAGGUAAGAUUCUAUUACUCAAACUCUUAAUUUCAAGAUGUAACUAGAAUGGGCUAUUAAUAAAGGUAAUUCAUAGGGAUGAGAAUGCUUACCUUGCAUGCAUGUAUUCUUAAGGUAUGUAGGAAGGUUGUGAGUAAAAGAUGAAAAAGAAUGGGGUGUUGGUUGGUGUAGUAUUUCAUAAAAAGGGGCUAUGAAACCUUAAUACAUACAAAGUGGUUUAUAGAAUGCUCAAGUGAGAUAAAAUUACGAUCGUUUUCCUAAUUUUGGGUAUUUCUAAAAUAGAUUGAAGUUGCUAAUUCUAAAACAUAUUAAAGUUUUAAGAGUCUCAAUUGAGGUAUGUAUGGCUAAACCCCCUUCUUCUUAGAAUCGAAACCCCUAGUGUUCUUGUAAUUGGUGUAAGUCACUAAAUUGAUCAUACUAGAAUUGACUGUGCCAAGUGUGUUGUGUUGAAUGAAAUAUGCUCAAUAUUUGUACUAAAUGCUUAUCAUGUCAUCUUACCCUUCGUGGAUGUGUUUACAAUGUGGAAUAUGUGUUAAGAAAGGUUACAACUUCAUGUCGAAAAUCGAAUAAAGGUUGUUAUGCCAAUUUGUAUGAAAGGCCUCUAUGUGCUUAGGAUUUUCCAAGUUUUGUCCUUAUGUGUACAAAUGCCUUACAUGAUAGGCCUUAUUAUUACUGAUAAUGUUAUUGAAUGUGUAAAAAAAAAGGAAAACUUGAAUUUUAAAAUAUGGCCAAGUGCCAAGAACGACUUAAUAAAUGAGGCCACUCGUGCCAAUGUAUUGAAAGAUGGGAAAGAAAUGUAAAGUGAGAUGAUUGAUUGAAAGGAUGGUGUCUCAAGUGAGAUGGCCUAGUCGAUCGGGCCGUGAUCGGACGCCAUGCCACACACAUAGUUGUAAUUGUGCUAGAAAUUAUGAUUGAACUUGUGAAUGUGGUAGAUGUCUCAAAUGAGAUGACCUAGCCAAUCGGGUUGAGAUUGAACUCUGUGUAAGAACAUCGUGGUAUUGUGAAUUGUGGCACAUGUCACUAAAGAUUAACCCACCAAAUAAGAUGGAAAUUGAUUUGAGAACAUAUGUGAUCCUUGAUAUUUUAGUAUUAUUUGAAGCUCUUAUUGUACAUCAUGAUUGUUUCCACUUUGUUUCAUUGUUCAUUCUAUUAAGAUGGUGUUGUAGCUUUACAUACUAGUACUACUCGACAGUACUAAUGUCCUUUUUGCCAGGGGUGCUACAUCUUCAAAUGGGUGUAGGUGGUUCCAUAGCAGACAGUGUUAAUUGUAGCUAGUGGUGCAUCCUCUUCUCAGCAGUCUUGGUGAGCCCCAUUUCAUCCCGAAGUCAUAUGUUGUAUCUUUUGUUCAUAUUGUUACCCCUUUUUGAGGUACAGCCGGGGCCUUGUCGCCGGCAUUAUCAUAACUAUGUUUUGUAUAUUUAGAGAUUCUGUAGACAUUAUGUGGGUUGUGUAUGGGUUCUAGAAAGGUCAGACAGAUUUUGUUGUGUUUUGGACUCUUGUUUCACUAAAUCAUAAGGUGUAUAUAUUUUCGGAACUCAACUAUGAUGUAGCAAAAUGAAAUGAGAUGAAUUAGCAAUGUUUAUAUAUAUGAUCUUUACACUGUUUAACU
This 6729-nucleotide long non-coding RNA is filed under the name Nicotiana tabacum (common tobacco). RNAcentral describes it as "long non-coding RNA (NTAB_LNC001236)". Lineage: Eukaryota; Viridiplantae; Streptophyta; Magnoliopsida; Solanales; Solanaceae. The record is from RNAcentral.